RNAcentral lists this ribosomal RNA (468 nucleotides) under uncultured bacterium. RNAcentral describes it as "partial 16S ribosomal RNA". It matches the Rfam family "Bacterial small subunit ribosomal RNA", at positions 28 to 507 of the family's 1533-position model. The record is from RNAcentral.
GAUGAACGCUGGCGGCGUGCUUAACACAUGCAAGUCGAACGGAAAGGCCCAAGCUUGCUUGGGUACUCGAGUGGCGAACGGGUGAGUAACACGUGGGUGAUCUGCCCUGCACUUCGGGAUAAGCCUGGGAAACUGGGUCUAAUACCGGAUAGGACGAUGGUUUGGAUGCCAUUGUGGAAAGUUUUUUCGGUGUGGGAUGAGCUCGCGGCCUAUCAGAUUGUUGGUGGGGUAAUGGCCUACCAAGGCGUCGACGGGUAGCCGGGCUGAGAGGGUGUACGGGGACAUUGGGGCUGAGAUACGGCCCAGACUCCUACGGGAGGCAGAAGUGGGGAAUAUUGCACAAUGGGGGCAAGCCUGAUGCAGCGACGCCGCGUGGGGGAUGACGGCCUUCGGGUUGUAAACUCCGUUCGCUAGGGACGAAGCGUUUUUGUGACGGUACCUGGAGAAGAAGCACCGGCUAACUACGUG